This is a long non-coding RNA of Arabidopsis lyrata subsp. lyrata, 670 nucleotides long. RefSeq lists it as uncharacterized. The transcript is spliced from 3 exons. NCBI's taxonomy places the organism in Eukaryota, Viridiplantae, Streptophyta, Magnoliopsida, Brassicales, Brassicaceae. The record is from RefSeq and is a predicted model, not a curated record.
AAUAUUUUCAUUAAUUGAUUCUCAAAAUUAAACAAAAAAAAAACGAAACCACAGAUGCGUUCUCUUCCUUCUUCGAUGCUCAACCUAGUAGCAGAAGCUGGAGCUAUGAUUCUCUUAAAAACAUCCGUCAGAUUUCUCCCGCCGUUCAAAAUCAUCUUAAACGGGUUUAUCUGACCUUAUGUUGUGCUCGUGUUGCGUCUGCGUUUGGAGCUUAUCUCCAUGUGCUCUGGAAUAUUGGUGAUAAUCUUACAACGAUUGGAUGCGUUGUAACUAUGAUUUGGCUCCUUUCAUGUCCUCCUUAUGAACACCAAAAGAGACUUUCUCUUCUGUUUGUGUCUGCUGUUCUUGAAGGUGCUUCUGUUGGCCCCUUGCUCAAAGUGGCAAUUGAUGUUGGACACUCACCGUAAAAGAUGUCAAUGGGUGAGUGAGUGGUGGGGUUUUUUAAUAAAAAUAAAUUCUGCACAAGAACAUGGCUAAAAGUUUUCUUUCAAUUUUCAUAAUUUCAUUUGGUUUACCCGAAAGGUUUAUGUCAGAUUUUGAAAGCCACCAUCGUUAGAAGGAUUUACGUAUAAACAAGUUUAAGUGGAUGUAUUAUCAUGGACAUCGACCAUCUAUUUUUUAUUGACUAUUACAUGUUUGAUCUUUAAGAAUGACUAAAUGUUCUAUAAAA